Oenanthe melanoleuca is the source of this 374-nucleotide long non-coding RNA. RefSeq lists it as uncharacterized. Lineage: Eukaryota; Metazoa; Chordata; Aves; Passeriformes; Muscicapidae. The transcript has 3 exons. The record is from RefSeq and is a predicted model, not a curated record.
AGGUGCUGGAAGCUGAAUGGCUGCCUGAGUUGAUAACAAAUCAGCAUCUCUAGGAGCCAAGAGGUGUGCAACGCCUCUUGUAUGAAGGGCUUCCAAAGUGAUGUUAAAUUUCAGCAGUAUUCACGAAGGCAAUGACCCAGGACUUCCUUCCCUGCUCUGAAAGGGAGUCUGCUCCUUAAUGGAAACCCAUGCUACGAAGGGAUUUUCCUGAAUUGUAACACAUGUUUUCUACCAAACUCCUAUUCUCUUGGGUGGGACAGAGGAAGAUGUUGGCAAGAUGGGCAGAUGGAUGGCAAGCUGCCACUCAGCCUGGAGCUUUGCAGUCCACAGCUACCUGGACCCAGAGGGCUACACGUGGCAUGAUUUGAAGCCUA